UACAGAGGUCCCAAGCGUUGUUCGGAUUCACUGGGCGUAAAGGGUGCGUAGGCGGUCUUAUAAGUCAGUGCUGAAAUAUCCCGGCUUAACCGGGAGGGUGGCAUUGAUACUGUAGGACUUGAGUAAAGUUGAGGUUGGCGGAAUUGACGGUGUAGCGGUGAAAUGCUUAGAUAUCGUCAAGAACACCUAUAGCGAAGGCAGCUAACUAAACUUUAACUGACGCUGAGGCACGAAAGUGUGGGGAUCAAACAGG
RNAcentral lists this ribosomal RNA (253 nucleotides) under uncultured bacterium. RNAcentral's name for it is "partial 16S ribosomal RNA". It matches the Rfam family "Bacterial small subunit ribosomal RNA", at positions 524 to 776 of the family's 1533-position model. The record is from RNAcentral.